GCAAAUUUGAAAAAAAAUUGAAAAAAAUGAAAAUUAAGGAUUUUGUUUCCAUGGUUACAAUAUUAUAAGACAAACUUACCAAUAACUUUUUUGCCUCAUUUGUAAGAUGGGAUGAUGGUGUUUCUAAAUUUAUUAUGUACGUUAAUAUAGGUGACCGCAAAAAAAUAUGGUGACCAUUCAAAAGUGUCCUCAAAAGUGUGUUUUUUUACCUUGUGUGACCCACCUGAAAAGGGGGAUAUAUGUGUCUAUGAUUUUAAAUUGUUAUCAACAUAUAAGUUGUUUAAAUAAAAUAUCAAUAUGCAUAUAUUUAAUAAAAUCAUGAAGAUUUAUCUCUUUCUUAUUUUUUUUUAUAUGAAAUAUUACAUUGAAAAUAGCCUUUUUCAGGUCAAAAUAUGGAUUUUCAAUAGGUGUAAAAUUUGUCAUUGGUUGCUAUGGCAACCGUAAUGCAUAGCAACCAAAAUUUUGCUAUUUUUUGUUUUUUUCAUUAAGUCUAGUAAGUGUGUGAAGUUUGAAGAAAAUCCAUGACCAUGUGUGCCACACUCCCUAUAUCAGAGUUAAAAUAGUUACAGAGAACCAGUAUUAAAUG
RNAcentral lists this long non-coding RNA (586 nucleotides) under Mytilus galloprovincialis (Mediterranean mussel). The record is from RNAcentral. Lineage: Eukaryota; Metazoa; Mollusca; Bivalvia; Mytilida; Mytilidae.